UAUAAAUAAAAGGAAAUGCUGACUGACUGACUGACUGACUGACUGAUCUAUCAAUUAAGCUCAAACUACUAGACGGAUCGGGCUGGAAUUUGGCAUGCAGAAUAGCUAUUAUGGCGUAGAUAUUCGCUAAAAAAGGGUUUUUGCAAAUUCACACUCCG
Long non-coding RNA from Maniola jurtina (meadow brown), 158 nucleotides. RefSeq lists it as uncharacterized. NCBI's taxonomy places the organism in Eukaryota, Metazoa, Arthropoda, Insecta, Lepidoptera, Nymphalidae. The record is from RefSeq and is a predicted model, not a curated record. The transcript is spliced from 4 exons.